AUCCCGACGGUACCGCACGGCACGGCCCACGGUGAGAUCGGCUCUGCUUUUUCGCCCGCGAAACCGGCGGGAGAAGACACCCUCUCCUCCCUCUCUCCCCUUCCUGCCGUCACUCAUCCACCAGCCUGGGCGACGACGCACCGCCCGCGGCGCAUUGACUUGCGCACGUUACGCUGUCGUCGUUUCCCCCUACCACGCCACCUCCAUGUUCCGGGGGGGAGGCGAACGCGUCCCGCGAGUCCCACGGCCCACCUCAACUCCUAUAAAAACUGCGUUCGGAUUGGAUCUCGCCGUCUCGCUUCCUGGUCAAAUUGUUCGCUAAUAAGCAUCGAUCGAAGGCGAGGCCAGCCAGCCAGCCGGGGCGCCGGGGGAGCUGGGGAAGAUGGUGCAGGGGACGCUCGAGGUGCUGCUCGUCGGAGCCAAGGGCCUCGAGAACACCGACUACCUGUGCAACAUGGACCCGUACGCGGUUCUCAAAUGCCGCUCGCAGGAGCAGAAGAGCAGCGUUGCGUCAGGUAAAGGAUCUGACCCUGAAUGGAACGAAACCUUUAUGUUCAGCGUCACUCACAACGCUACAGAGCUCAUCAUCAAGUUGAUGGACAGUGACAGUGGCACGGAUGAUGAUUUUGUUGGAGAAGCAACGUGAGUACACCGUUGUAUUCUGCUCAUAACUAAUUAUACACUGCAAGUCCAAUUGAACUAGAGGUUAAUUAUUUCUAUCUAUGCUAGCUUCCAUGGCUUUGUUAAUAUCAAAUAUCCGUCUGAAUAUGGGGGUGAGCCCAAACUGCUCACAUGUCGGUUAUGUGGUCCUGAAAUUAUAUCAAAAUCUGUUUUGAGUAAAAUGGUCCUCAAAUGACUAGUUUUUCCUUCAGAUCUAUAAUCUCCUGACAUAUUGUAGGAUCCUACCUGAACGUUUGCAAUAUCCAUUUCUUUCAGGAUUUCUUUGGAAGCAAUCUAUACAGAAGGAAGCAUACCCCCAACUGUUUAUAAUGUUGUGAAAGAAGAAGAAUACCGUGGAGAAAUCAAAGUGGGCCUGACGUUCACUCCAGAGGAUGAUCGCGAUCGGGGUUUAUCUGAGGAAGACAUUGGUGGAUGGAAGCAGUCAUCUUGAGGAAGAAGCAGAUACUUUGAUGUCGCACUGCAUCGCUAUGGUAAGUCGUGUGCUGGAAGCCUGGAACAAAGCCUAUUGAAAAGAGCAGUCUUGUAGAAAUACUUCUCAUGAUUUUCUAAAAGUUGUAAUAAUAGUGUUCGCCAAUAUGCUCUAUAUGUAAGGACCUUGCUUUGAUGCCCACUAAACUGUAAUAACUAUGGCAAGUUAUGAUGCAA
This 1326-nucleotide long non-coding RNA is filed under the name Oryza sativa Indica Group (long-grained rice). RNAcentral describes it as "lncRNA OsMH63_04G021420". Lineage: Eukaryota; Viridiplantae; Streptophyta; Magnoliopsida; Poales; Poaceae. The record is from RNAcentral.